RNAcentral lists this ribosomal RNA (436 nucleotides) under uncultured Lactobacillus sp. RNAcentral describes it as "bacterial SSU rRNA". It matches the Rfam family "Bacterial small subunit ribosomal RNA", at positions 28 to 440 of the family's 1533-position model. Lineage: Bacteria; Bacillati; Bacillota; Bacilli; Lactobacillales; Lactobacillaceae. The record is from RNAcentral.
GACGAACGCUGGCGGCGUGCCUAAUACAUGCAAGUCGAGCGAGCGGAACUAACAGAUUUACUUCGGUAAUGACGUUAGGAAAGCGAGCGGCGGAUGGGUGAGUAACACGUGGGGAACCUGUCCCAUAGUCUGGGAUACCACUUGGAAACAGGUGCUAAUACCGGAUAAGAAAGCAGAUCGCAUGAUCAGCUUUUAAAAAGCGGCGUAAGCUGUCGCUAUGGGAUGGCCCCGCGGUGCAUUAGCUAGUUGGUAAGGUAAAGGCUUACCAAGGCGAUGAUGCAUAGCCGAGUUGAGAGACUGAUCGGCCACAUUGGGACUGAGACACGGCCCAAACUCCUACGGGAGGCAGCAGUGGGAAUAUUGCACAAUGGGGAAACCCUGAUGCAGCGACGCCGCGUGAAGGAAGAAGUAUCUCGGUAUGUAAACUUCUAUCAGC